This 253-nucleotide ribosomal RNA is filed under the name uncultured prokaryote. RNAcentral describes it as "partial 16S ribosomal RNA". It matches the Rfam family "Bacterial small subunit ribosomal RNA", at positions 524 to 776 of the family's 1533-position model. The record is from RNAcentral.
UACAGAGGGGGCAAGCGUUGUUCGGGAUUACUGGGCGUAAAGGGCGCGUAGGCGGCCUUCUAAGUCGAACGUGAAAUCCCCGGGCUCAACCCGGGAACUGCGUCCGAGACUGGAAGGCUCGAAUCCGGGAGAGGGAUGUGGAAUUCCAGGUGUAGCGGUGAAAUGCGUAGAUAUCUGGAGGAACAUCGGUGGCGAAGGCGGCAUCCUGGACCGACACUGACGCUGAGGCGCGAAAGCUAGGGGAGCAAACGGG